This 491-nucleotide long non-coding RNA is filed under the name Equus caballus (horse). RNAcentral describes it as "lncRNA (ENSECAG00000052648.1)". Lineage: Eukaryota; Metazoa; Chordata; Mammalia; Perissodactyla; Equidae. The record is from RNAcentral.
AGGGAAACCGCCACGACCCAGUUUUUCCCACCUGCCCUACUCACCCAGAGGCGGUGUCCCGCGACCCAACAGCUAAUGGAAGUUAUGCAAAAUCUGUUAGGGUGUGUCAUGAACAGCAGACACCUGCGGGGUCUUCGCUUUCUCUCUGGCUGUUUCCACGGUUCGGAAUGGGUGCUGCUCUGCACCCACAGAUAUUAAAAGUGAGCGGUUUUAAGGCACUUCCUGGGUGCCAGGCACUCCUCGGGAUUUCUACGCAGAUUCGUUUCAUAUCCACAACCACAUCCGAUCUCAGGUAGGCAUCCUGACUAUUCCCUUUUAGAGAUGGGAAGCUAAGGCCCAGAAGGGUUAAGUGACAUGCUCCGGGUCACAGAGCUUUGCAAGUGGCAGAGCCUGGGCUGCCUCCUGUGACUUUUAUUUUUUGUUUUGAAUCACACCAGGGAAGAAUAAGUCAGUUCUUUAAUGGCUCUAGCUGAGGUUGAUCAGAACUCCGC